AAGUCGAACGAGAGGCCGUAGCAAUACGGUCGUACAGUGGCGAACGGGUGAGGAAGAUGUGGGUAACCUACCCUCGAGUGGGGAAUAACCCGCCGAAAGGCGGGCUAAUACCGCGUACGCUUCUGUUCCUUCGGGGACGGAAGGAAAGCUGUGCCGUGGGCAUGGCGCUCAAGGAUGGGCUCACGCCCUAUCAGCUUGUUGGUAGGGUAACGGCCUACCAAGGCAACGACGGGUAGCUGGUCUGAGAGGACGAUCAGCCACACUGGCACUGCGACACGGGCCAGACUCCUACGGGAGGCAGCAGUGAGGAAUAUUGCGCAAUGGGCGAAAGCCUGACGCAGCGACGCCGCGUGGGGGAUGAAGGUCUUCGGAUUGUAAACCCCUUUCAGGAGGGAAGAUGGAACGGGCAACCGUUCGGACGGUACCUCCAGAAGCAGCCACGGCUAACUUCGUGCCAGCAGCCGCGGUAAUACGAAGGUGGCAAGCGUUGUUCGGAUUUACUGGGCGUAAAGGGAGCGUAGGCGGUUGGGUAAGCCCUUUGGGAAAGCUCCCGGCUUAACCGGGAAAGGUCGAAGGGGACUGCCUGGCUAGAGGGUGGGAGA
Molecule: ribosomal RNA, 602 nt
Filed under: uncultured bacterium
Lineage: Bacteria
Description: bacterial SSU rRNA
Rfam family: Bacterial small subunit ribosomal RNA
Source: RNAcentral